This 253-nucleotide ribosomal RNA is filed under the name uncultured bacterium. Its description in RNAcentral is "partial 16S ribosomal RNA". It matches the Rfam family "Bacterial small subunit ribosomal RNA", at positions 524 to 776 of the family's 1533-position model. The record is from RNAcentral.
UACGUAGGUGGCAAGCGUUGUCCGGAAUUAUUGGGCGUAAAGCGCGCGCAGGCGGUCCUUUAAGUCUGAUGUGAAAGCCCACGGCUCAACCGUGGAAGGUCAUUGGAAACUGGGGGACUUGAGUGCAGAAGAGGAAAGUGGAAUUCCACGUGUAGCGGUGAAAUGCGUAGAGAUGUGGAGGAACACCAGUGGCGAAGGCGGCUUUCUGGUCUGUAACUGACGCUGAGGCGCGAAAGCGUGGGGAGCAAACAGG